This 314-nucleotide small nuclear RNA is filed under the name Panthera tigris altaica (Amur tiger). RNAcentral describes it as "7SK RNA (ENSPTIG00000000801.1)". It matches the Rfam family "7SK RNA", at positions 1 to 276 of the family's 331-position model. From Rfam's summary of the family: 7SK was discovered as an abundant small nuclear RNA in the mid-70s but a possible function has only recently been suggested. Two independent studies have found that 7SK RNA binds the CDK9/cyclin T complex (known as elongation factor P-TEFb). The record is from RNAcentral. Lineage: Eukaryota; Metazoa; Chordata; Mammalia; Carnivora; Felidae.
GGAUGUAAGGGCCAUCUGGCUGCGACAUCUGUCUUCCCAUUGAUCACCAGGGUCGAUGCAGCUGAUCUGGUUGGCUAGGUGGGUGUCCCCUUCCUCCCUCACUGCUCCAUGUGUAUCCCUUCUGAAGCUGUGUGCUUUGUCGAGGACAACCUUCCCUGAUGGAGGAGGCCCAUUCAUUCACGGACAAGUGUAUACAUGUAGCCGCGCUCCCUUUCUAGAACUUCCAAACAAGCUCUCAGUUCCACGCAAAAAAAAAAAAAAAAAAAAAAAAAAAAAAAAAAAAAAAAAAAGAGAGAGAGAGAGAGAGAGACUGU